This is a long non-coding RNA of Neopelma chrysocephalum (saffron-crested tyrant-manakin), 443 nucleotides long. RefSeq lists it as uncharacterized. NCBI's taxonomy places the organism in Eukaryota, Metazoa, Chordata, Aves, Passeriformes, Pipridae. The transcript has 3 exons. The record is from RefSeq and is a predicted model, not a curated record.
UUUAAGGUUAAAACUGGGGUUGGAAUAAGAGGGUUUUGAAGGUAAAAUUGGGCUUGACAUCAAAUUUAGAAGUUCAAACUGGGCUUGACACCAGGGGGUUUUAAAGUUAAAAUUGGGCCUGAUAUCAGGAGGUUUUAAAUGUAAAACUGGGCUUGACAUCAGGAGGUUUUAAAGUUAAAAUUGGGCUCGACAUGAGGAGGUUUUAAAGUUAAAAUUGGGUCUGAUAUCAGGAGAUUUUAAGGUUAAAACUGGGCUCGACAUCAGGGGGUUUUAAAGCUGAAACUGGGCUUGACAUCAGGAGGCUUUAAAGUUAAAAUUGGGCCUGAUAUCAGGAGAUUUUAAAGUUAAAAUUGGGCUUGACAUCAGGAGGUUUUAAAUGUAAAAUUGGACCUGAUAUCAGGAGGUUUUAAGGUUAAAACUGGGCUUGACAUGAGGAGGUUUUA